GAACCCCGUCUUUGACACGGACUGCCUGUACAUUAUGGUGUGCUCUCGAAGAGUCGAGUUGUUUGGGAAUGCAGCUCAAAAUGGGUGGUAAAUGCCAUCUAAAGCUAAAUAUUGGCGAGAGACCGAUAGCGAACAAGUACCGUGAGGGAAAGAUGAAAAGAACUUUGGAAAGAGAGUUAAACAGUACGUGAAAUUGCUGAAAGGGAAACGCUUGAAGUCAGUCGCGUUGGCUAGAAAUCAACCUUGCUUUUGCUUUGUGUACUUUCUGGUUGACGGGUCAGCAUCAAUUUUGACCACUGGAUAAAGUCUUUGGGAAUGUGGCAUCUUCGGAUGUGUUAUAGCCCAUUGUCGCAUACGGUGGUUGGGAUUGAGGAACUCAGCACGCCGCAAGGCCGGGUUUCGACCACGUUCGUGCUUAGGAUGCUGGCAUAAUGGCUUUAAUCGACCCGUCUUGAAACACGGACCAAGGAGUCUAACAUGCCUGCGAGUGUUUGGGUGGAAAAACCCAUGCGCGCAAUGAAAGUGAAAGUUGAGAUCCUCUUCAAAGGGGGAGCAUUGACGCCCGGACCAGACCUUUUGUGACGGAUCCGCGGUAGAGCAUGCAUGUUGGGACCCGAAAGAUGGUGAACUAUGCCUGAAUAGGGUGAAGCCAGAGGAAACCCUGGUGGAGGCUCGUAGCGAUUCUGACGUGCAAAUCGAUCGUCAAAUUUGGGUAUAGGGGCGAAAGACUAAUCGAACCAUCUAGUAGCUGGUUCCUGCC
RNAcentral lists this ribosomal RNA (760 nucleotides) under uncultured Inocybe. RNAcentral's name for it is "partial 28S ribosomal RNA". It matches the Rfam family "Eukaryotic large subunit ribosomal RNA", at positions 216 to 962 of the family's 3401-position model. The record is from RNAcentral. Lineage: Eukaryota; Fungi; Basidiomycota; Agaricomycetes; Agaricales; Cortinariaceae.